Molecule: ribosomal RNA, 502 nt
Filed under: uncultured bacterium
Lineage: Bacteria
Description: partial 16S ribosomal RNA
Rfam family: Bacterial small subunit ribosomal RNA
Source: RNAcentral
GACGAACGCUGGCGGCGUGCUUAACACAUGCAAGUCGAACGGUGAAGGGGCCUGCUUUUGUGGGCCCUGGAUGAGUGGCGAACGGGUGAGUAACACGUGAGUAACCUGCCCCCUUCUUCUGGAUAACCGCAUGAAAGUGUGGCUAAUACGGGAUAUUCUGGGUCUGUCGCAUGAUGGGUCUGGGAAAGAUUGCGCCUUUGGGUGUUUUUGGUGGGGGAUGGGCUCGCGGCCUAUCAGCUUGUUGGUGGGGUGAUGGCCUACCAAGGCGGUGACGGGUAGCCGGCCGGAGAGGGUGGGCGGUCACACUGGGACUGGGACACGGCCCAGACUCCUACGGGAGGCAGCAGUGGGGAAUAUUGCACAAUGGGCGCAAGCCUGAUGCAGCGACGCCGCGUGAGGGAUGGAGGCCUUCGGGUUGUAAACCUCUUUCGCCAGUGAAGCAGGCCUGCUCCUUGUGGGUGGGUUGACGGUAGCUGGAUAAGAAGCGCCGGCUAACUACGUG